Molecule: long non-coding RNA, 592 nt
Organism: Helianthus annuus (common sunflower)
Lineage: Eukaryota; Viridiplantae; Streptophyta; Magnoliopsida; Asterales; Asteraceae
Exons: 2
Source: RefSeq, a predicted model, not a curated record
AACCCUCCCAAAGUGGAAAAAAGAAGUGUCCCACUGUCUUCGUUUACAAAACGACGACCAACCCAACAACACAAUCAUCAUUCACGACACUUCACUUGUAACAAAUUGCAGUAGUAAUGUCGGACGCAAGAGACUCCACGAUCAAGCUUUUGGGGAAGACGAUUCAGUCUACAGAUGAUCAACAACGGAAGUAUAUGAAGGGUGUUCAGGUCUUUCGAUACGAAGGUGAUGGAACUGAAUUUGGCAAGAACGCGUUGGCCAAUUUGAGAGCAAACCCGGCAGCAAUGUCAAGAUCAAUGAAGUUCCAUGAGUCAUCAUAGUUAUGAACAAUGAACAAGAUUCGAUAAUGAAUUGUUCUUUGACAUAAUGGUUAAUCAAGAUGGUUUUUGACUUUGGGUUGUUAGUUUGACAAGUUUUUGUUGUAGAUAAUUAUGUAAAAUAAACCAUUUGAACAAAAGGGGUGGGAGAGAUAGGUUCUUGGAUUUAUCAAGAUUAAGUGCUAAUGGUGAUGAGUCAGUGUAAUGUUAAAAUCAAUAAUUGUUCAUAAUCUUCUACUAAUUAUUAUCGAUUUAUAUGACUCGAGCUUGUUUUU